AGAAAGCCAACCUUCUGAAGGCGGAGGAAUUACAGUUGCAGAAACAGAUGGCCAACUGGAAUGUACACCCAAUAAAGACCCAGAGGACUGCUGGACAUUACGAAGGAAGCCUGGGAGGAGCAGCCAUGCCAACAGCGGACCCUGAUCGAGCAUGUCGGGGCCAUGAGGGCGAGAAUGAAGGCCAUCUAUCCCAUGAUCCAGGGAGACACGGCAACAGCAAGCCACCUACAACCGGUCGGCGCAACCCAGAGUGUUUUAGCCGGGCGACAAAGUGCUGGUCCUGGUGCCAACCACAGAGUGUAAAUUACUGGCUACUUGGCAAGGACCAUAUGAGGUCAUGGACGUGUGGGAGAAGUAAACUACAAGGUAAGGCAACCUGGAAAAAGAACCUGAGCAAAUUUAUCACGUUAACCUCUUAAAGAAGUGGCACGCCAUGGAGGUGCUGUUCAGCUGUCCAAGGAACCGGUGCGAGAAGAGGUGCAGGUGGGUCCCGGCCUGUCCCCCAUCAACGGCAGUUGGCCCGGGAACUGGUGGACCGUAACCCGGAUGUUUUCUCCUCUCUUCCCGGGCACACGGCGGUGACCCAGCACGAGAUACGCACCGUGCCGGGCAAAACGGUGAACCAGCACCGUACCGUGUGCCGGAGGCUCAUAAGGGGGCCAUUCAGGAGGAGGAUAUGCUCGCUUCAUAACCACGGUCAACCUCACAAAAGGCUACUGGCAGGUGCCCCUGACCCCGGCAGUCUAAGGAGAAGACUGCCUUGGCCACACAGGAGGGGAACUACCAGUAUACCCGGCUCCCCUUUGAUCUCCACGGGGCACCGGCCACGUUCCA
This is a long non-coding RNA of Gasterosteus aculeatus aculeatus (three-spined stickleback), 834 nucleotides long. NCBI's taxonomy places the organism in Eukaryota, Metazoa, Chordata, Actinopteri, Perciformes, Gasterosteidae. The record is from Ensembl.